GUCCCCGUAGUUUAGCCUGGAUAAAAUGCAAGGUUGCGGACCUUGCGAUCCGCGGUUCAAAUCCGCGCGGGGACG
This 75-nucleotide transfer RNA is filed under the name Nanobdellota archaeon. RNAcentral describes it as "tRNA-Arg". It matches the Rfam family "tRNA". Rfam says of the family: Transfer RNA (tRNA) molecules are approximately 80 nucleotides in length. Their secondary structure includes four short double-helical elements and three loops (D, anti-codon, and T loops). Further hydrogen bonds mediate the characteristic L-shaped molecular structure. tRNAs have two regions of fundamental functional importance: the anti-codon, which is responsible for specific mRNA codon recognition, and the 3' end, to which the tRNAs corresponding amino acid is attached (by aminoacyl-tRNA synthetases). tRNAs cope with the degeneracy of the genetic code in two manners: having more than one tRNA (with a specific anti-codon) for a particular amino acid; and 'wobble' base-pairing, i.e. permitting non-standard base-pairing at the 3rd anti-codon position. Lineage: Archaea; Nanobdellati; Nanobdellota. RNAcentral also lists the same sequence under 1 other name. The record is from RNAcentral.